UCGAGAAUCUUCGGCAAUGGGCGCAAGCCUGACCGAGCGACGCCGCGUGGAGGACGAAGGCCUUCGGGUUGUAAACUCCUGUCGAGGGGGAGGAAGGUCGCGAGAGCGGCUUGACCGAUCCCUGGAGGAAGCACGGGCUAAGUUCGUGCCAGCAGCCGCGGUAAGACGAACCGUGCGAACGUUAUUCGGAAUCACUGGGCUUAAAGGGCGCGUAGACGGGCUCGCGCAUCGGUCGCUGAAAUCCCCCGGCUCAACCGGGGAACGGGCACCGAAAUGGCGGGCCUCGAGUGGAGGAGGGGGACCUGGAACGGCCGGUGGAGCGGUGAAAUGCGUUGAGAUCGGCCGGAACGCCGACGGCGAAAGCAGGGUCCUGGACUCCAACUGACGUUGAGGCGCGAAAGCCAGGGGAGCGAACGG
This 417-nucleotide ribosomal RNA is filed under the name uncultured bacterium. RNAcentral's name for it is "bacterial SSU rRNA". It matches the Rfam family "Bacterial small subunit ribosomal RNA", at positions 355 to 775 of the family's 1533-position model. The record is from RNAcentral.